CUCAUUUAACGCAGGCUGAAGAACACAAGAACUUGCUGAUCUUCGUAGAUGCGUUGAAUGGCAGGCACGCUCUUUCUCUGGUGACAGCUGAGGACUUAAGGAGCGGGGCUGUCUCAAUCCUCAUUCCAGGUGAAGCAUUCUGGGGACAGCAUCUUAGCAGGAAGGAAUCAUCUUCAUUUCACAGAGGAAGAAACCAAGGUUCCAAGAAGUAAAGUAACUUGCUCAGCAUCACACAGCUGGAAAGAGUUGAGAUUUCCUGAUUUUCUCAUCUUGAUGGAGACCAUUUCCUCUCUGUUCCUCUCAACAAAAUCCCAAAAAGCCCAAGAAGAGGGUCCCGUCAUUUUUUUUCCCCCAACUGCAAUAUCCGAGUAAAGUCAGGGAAAGUUUCCUAUCAAAGCUAAACCACCUUUAUUUGCCGCAAGCCCUUUUGGGAACAACAUGAUUUGUUAAAUCUUAACUUCAACCUAUAUAUCUUAAAAGAGGAAUUAACUGUAGAUAUUUAUAAUCUUUUCAUCUUCAAAGCACUUUACGUAUUAACUAGUUAAAUUUCAGCAACACCCUUGAUUAACUCCUUUUUAUAGAUGUGGGAAAAGAGGCGUGGAAAUAAUAAAAAAUGCUCUUGGCCAUGAUGGAAUCAGCAUUCCAAGGUAGGAUUAGAAUUUGAAAUUUCCUGUCUCCACCUUUCACAAAACCAACAGACUAGUCUCCUGCCUUGAUGUCUUGGUGGAAUGAUAUGAUUUGGCCAUCUCAGCCCUUACAUUCUUUUAAUAGAGCUUUCUCAAAAGUGCCUAUGAUUUCUCCAGUGCUUUUUACAAUUCAUUCUGUAUGGCAUUAUGCCAUGACUUUAUUCACUUCUUAAAUCAAAGGAGUUAUUUGAAAAAGUGAACAAAAUGCCCAAUUCUUAUGGUUUCACUCAGCUCUCUUGCGUCUCCCCUUGGAGGCUAUUCUUAGACAUACUGUCCAUUCAGGAAUCCAAGGUAAGCCAGCUUUAUCUGGCAAGUCCCCAAAGAUGUCUUCUUUCCAUAUGUCCAGACAGAAAGCUAAGCAGUAAUUCAAAGACAGAAAGGGGUCAGCAAUAACCACUUUCAUAGCUACCAGGUAGAAACUCAUUGUCAAUUUCAUCUUCAACACAAUUUCCCAAUCUUUUUAAUGUUGGAGGAAUCAUUUGAAAUGUGAGAUUUCUGGGCAGCUGUUCCAGCCGGGUGAGAUUCUUGCUGACAGGUAUCAGACUCUUAUUAGCAUUCUGUGUUCUGAAUUAAAGGAGAAAGCCUAUCUCUAAAUAUAUACCAGAGCCUUGCAAGGUUGGUGGGGGUGAGUACCUUAGCUGAACUUGGCAGAGACUAAAUAACUCUGACGGCCCCCUUUUCUAAGAUUUUAUUAGUCUUUGCUGGACUUGAUAGCUUUGGUAUAGUUCAUAUAGGAUUUUCAUUGUGACAAUAAGGACCUUACAUUAAAACCCAGUCCUGAAAUAUGACGGUAUGACUGGCUCCCUCUCCUCGCCCUCCCCUCCAUCUAAAUGACAGUUAGCAGAUUCAAUAAAAUAGCAUAGGAUUUGGCAUAGAAAACCUGGAUUUGAGUUUUGGCUCUGCUACCUACUAGUUAUGUGAUCAAUUAACCUUGCUAAGCUAUGGUUUCCUCACCCUAAAAUGGGGUAAUAAUAAUGAUACUUACCUUACAUAAUUAUUGGGAAAAUAAAAUAAAAAUAUUUUCUGCACUCUAAAGAAUUUUAUCAAUUUUAGUUAUUAAUGAU
Diceros bicornis minor is the source of this 1750-nucleotide long non-coding RNA. RefSeq lists it as uncharacterized. Lineage: Eukaryota; Metazoa; Chordata; Mammalia; Perissodactyla; Rhinocerotidae. The transcript has 3 exons. The record is from RefSeq and is a predicted model, not a curated record.